AUUUGCUAGAGCAUGCCUUUGAUGCAAUUCUGGAAGUUGGUCAUAUACCUCAUCCAUCAUUCUUCUUUGAGAUUCUGUGUCAAGCUACAUGUCAACAUGAUCAUGAAAGAGCCCUUGCUCUAAUUAAAUCAAUGGUUCAUGUUCCAUUUCAAGUCAGUAAACAAGAGUGGAUUGACCUAUUCAACAGCAACAAUGGAAGAAUUAGCCAUUCUAGUUUGAGAGAAUUAUUGGAUGUGAUAUGCAGCCA
RNAcentral lists this unclassified non-coding RNA (247 nucleotides) under Hevea brasiliensis (rubber tree). The record is from RNAcentral. Lineage: Eukaryota; Viridiplantae; Streptophyta; Magnoliopsida; Malpighiales; Euphorbiaceae.